RNAcentral lists this ribosomal RNA (119 nucleotides) under Triticum aestivum (bread wheat). The record is from RNAcentral. Lineage: Eukaryota; Viridiplantae; Streptophyta; Magnoliopsida; Poales; Poaceae.
GGAUGCGAUCAUACCAGCACUAAAGCACCGGAUCCCAUCAGAACUCCGAAGCUAAGCGUGCAUGGGCGAGAGUAGUACUAGGAUGGGUGACCUCCUAGGAAGUCCUCGUGUUGCAUUCC